RNAcentral lists this ribosomal RNA (468 nucleotides) under uncultured bacterium. RNAcentral describes it as "partial 16S ribosomal RNA". It matches the Rfam family "Bacterial small subunit ribosomal RNA", at positions 28 to 507 of the family's 1533-position model. The record is from RNAcentral.
GACGAACGCUGGCGGCGUGCUUAACACAUGCAAGUCGAACGGCAACGCCCUGCUUGUGUGCGGUUCCCGAUUGCCGAACGGGUGAGUAACACGUGAGUAACCUGCCCUUGACUUUGGGAGAACUUCAGGAAAGUGAGGCUAAGAUCGUAUAGGAUCCCCUGCUCCAUGGAGGGGGUUGGAAAUUCUCGGCUGUUGGGGAUGGAUGCGCGGCUUAUCAGCUUGUUGGUUGGCUAGUUGUUUACCAAGGCUUUGAACGGUAGCCGGCCUGAGAGGGUGACCGGCAACCAUGGGACUGAGGUAGGGCGCAGACUCGUACGGGAGGCAGCAGUGGGGAAUAUUGCACAGUGGGAGGGAGUCGGAGGAAGAAGCGCCGCGUGCGGGAUGACCGUUUUCGGGUUGUAAACAGCUUCAGCCUGUGACGAAGCGUGAGUGACGGUAAUGGAUAAAGAAGCACCGGCUAACUACGUG